Molecule: non-coding RNA, 116 nt
Organism: Picea glauca (white spruce)
Lineage: Eukaryota; Viridiplantae; Streptophyta; Pinopsida; Pinales; Pinaceae
Source: Rfam
CAGUGCAAUUGGGUGCGAUCUGCACUAGAUUAUAUUAGAACUCCACAAUUAAGUGUGCUUGGGACAAAGUAGUGUUGGGAUGGGUGACUUCUCAGAAAGUCUUAGUGUUGCAUCGU